Mustela erminea (ermine) is the source of this 73-nucleotide non-coding RNA. The record is from the annotation of a RefSeq genome assembly. Lineage: Eukaryota; Metazoa; Chordata; Mammalia; Carnivora; Mustelidae.
ACCUGGCUGGCUCAGUCAGUGGAGCGUGAGACUCUUGAUCUCAAGGUUGUGGGUUCAAGCCCCAUGUUGGGUG